Non-coding RNA from Teladorsagia circumcincta, 241 nucleotides. The record is from the annotation of a GenBank genome assembly. Lineage: Eukaryota; Metazoa; Nematoda; Chromadorea; Rhabditida; Trichostrongylidae.
UUGUCCGAAAGAAGGCGUGGGGGGCGACUCACAGGUCCAUAGUGACCUUGAUUCCCCCGGGAAGGUCUGAGACAAGGUCCCGUUCCCAUCGGGUGGAACGGUGGGUCUGAGAAGGACCCCGUUCGUGAGAACGGGAGGCUGUAACAGAAACACACCCUGCGGGGUUUGAACACAGCCUCGACCGGCAAAAUACCUGAGUGCGAUCGCCAACUUAACACAAUUCAGACUAGUCUUCGGAAAA